This 1114-nucleotide unclassified non-coding RNA is filed under the name Hevea brasiliensis (rubber tree). Lineage: Eukaryota; Viridiplantae; Streptophyta; Magnoliopsida; Malpighiales; Euphorbiaceae. The record is from RNAcentral.
GCUAAGAAAACAAUCUACAUGUCCUGUUUGUCGGUUUCCAGUACAAGACUCUUUGGUAACAAAGCGUAUGAGACAAGCAACAAUGGGUAUGCUGCGAUCUGUGGAUAGUCCUGAGACUUCAACUGAACAUUCUCGGCAAUGGCUACUACCUGGUUCUGAGCGUUCAGUGGGGAAUGCUAGUCACCCAGGGCACCUCGACACCGUUUCUGGAAACCCAGAACUUGCUCCAGAAGAGCCACAAACAAGGCAUUGAUAAAGCAAAGAAAUCCGUGUAGUUAAGACAGCAAUAUAUUCAUUUUGAUUCCUGGAAGCUAUCUUACAUGUGCUUCAAGCCAACUUCUGACACUUUUGGGGCAUUGAAUUUCCUUGUUAGAGUAAGUAUAUACAGCUUGAGAUUUUGCGUAAAUCUGUACAUAAAAUUCCUUGAAUCUCUCUGUAGCAUGGUACUGAGACUGAAUCCUGCUCAUUGUGACAGAACCAUCAUAAUCCUGAAAAGUUGUCAUCGCAAACUCAUGAUAGAUUUUCUAUUGAACUUCUCCAAAUAUUUAGCUGAGCUUGUCAAAUUUUGAAUGUGGGCCAAACCUUUAAAAUGAUCAAGUGAAGGAUGAUUUUCAGCCAUAUGAUUCAAAAGGAUUUUGUGGGAGCAGAGUGCAAGUGUGCCAUUGGCCAUUGGUCUCAUACUAGAUUUGUCGCUGGUCGAAUACCAAGGGGUUAUUUAAUAAUCCAGAAGCCAUGAAUUCUUCACCUGAUGUUCCUGUUGUAUAUGAAGUUAGAUACCUUCAAAUUCAAUUUGAUAUGCUGUGUCACUGCCACGCCUAUAGAGUUUGUGUUUCCGAAAUCCGAAUAUUUGCAUAGCCAAAUUAAUGUAUUUUCUCCCAACUUCAACGUCUCGAUGAUAGUCAUAUGCCAUGAUUAUCUUUAGGAGACGGCCAUGGAUGUGCUUUCCCUGUUCUAAGGGCCCCAUCGGAGCGCAAGCAGACAUCCUACUUGCACGUUGGAGUUGGAGUUCAGCAAACUGCAUCUAAGCAAAAACCUCCAAUGAAUGGAAACAUGACUGAAUUCAAUCAAAAUCAUAAAUCCCUUGUUUGUUUGGGAUGUAGAAUUUUACAAAAAU